Molecule: ribosomal RNA, 253 nt
Filed under: uncultured bacterium
Lineage: Bacteria
Description: partial 16S ribosomal RNA
Rfam family: Bacterial small subunit ribosomal RNA
Source: RNAcentral
UACAGAGGGGGCAAGCGUUGUUCGGAAUUACUGGGCGUAAAGGGCGCGUAGGCGGCCCACUAAGUCGAACGUGAAAUCCCCGGGCUCAACCCGGGAACUGCGUCCGAUACUGGUGGGCUUGAAUCCGGGAGAAGGAUGCGGAAUUCCAGGUGUAGCGGUGAAAUGCGUAGAUAUCUGGAGGAACACCGGUGGCGAAGACGGCAUCCUGGACCGGCAUUGACGCUGAGGCGCGAAAGCCAGGGGAGCAAACGGG